Molecule: ribosomal RNA, 218 nt
Filed under: uncultured bacterium
Lineage: Bacteria
Description: partial 16S ribosomal RNA
Rfam family: Bacterial small subunit ribosomal RNA
Source: RNAcentral
ACGCUCGACACCUACGGGAGGCGGCAGUGAGGAAUAUUGGUCAAUGGGCGCUAGCCUGAACCAGCCAAGUAGCGUGAAGGAUGAAGGCUCUAUGGAUCGUAAACUUCUUUUAUAUAAGAAUAAAGUGCAGUAUGUAUACUGUUUUGUAUGUAUUAUAUGAAUAAGGAUCGGCUAACUCCGUGCCAACAGCCGCGGUAAUCUGAGCGGGCUGGCAAGGC